RNAcentral lists this long non-coding RNA (902 nucleotides) under Castor canadensis (American beaver). RNAcentral's name for it is "lncRNA (ENSCCNG00000029100.1)". The record is from RNAcentral. Lineage: Eukaryota; Metazoa; Chordata; Mammalia; Rodentia; Castoridae.
UCCUAGAAUAGCUUCCAAUCCACAGUUCUAGAUUACCUUCCUAUAAUCAAGGUGAAAUAUUGGUUGUCCUGACCCUAAGGGUUUCUCCACAGGAGAGCUCAUAACAUGAAUGCUUUAUUCUGUGUUUUUUCAUUUGUUGUCAUUGAGGAAAUACUCAUGUUUCCUUUUCCAAUGCCAUAGGUAUUUACAGUUCUUUAGCCAAGAGUUCUGGAGCUCAUGAUUCUGUAGUUAAGGAUCCUGGAACCACCAUUCAUCUGAAGGGGAUCCGAGGAGGUUCAGUCCUGUUCCAUGUGACCAAGGAGACAGCAGAAGCUGAUGUGCAGGAGAUCACUUGGAGCUUUGGUCCUGGCUCAGACUACAGCAUCAUGCUAAAAAUGCACCGUGGGUCAGAGACCCCGGAUUGGGUCAGCCUGCAGGACAAGUACAAACAGAGGGUCCAUGUGCCCAACAUGACAUCGCUGAGGAUUGAGAACUUGAUCUUACAGGACAGUGGGCCAUACAAGGCUCAGAUUACAUUAACUAAUGGAAAAGGAUCUGACCAAUUUUUUCACCUCAAUAUUUAUGAACCUGUGCCCCCUCCUCAGAUCCAGAACAACUCAAUAUCAAUCACUCCUGACUGGUGCAAUGUCACCCUGGAAUGUAAUGUCACAGGGACCUCAGAGCACCUGAAUGUGACCUGGAAGAGCAAGGGUCUUCCCAGGGAGCUGGAGCAGAGAGGGACACCAGGACCAGCUCCCAACCCCUGGACAUUAACUGUGAGGCUGCCCCACAGCCAUCUGCAUGCCAGCCUCACCUGUGUGGUCAGCAACUAUGUGGACCAGAAAAAUGCCACCUUAGAGCUUGGCAACAUUUGUGCCCAAGGAAAACAGACACAUAUCAACAGUCCACAACAAGCCUCUUAG